ACAGCGAAACCUGCGAAUGGGCUCAUUAAAUCAGUUAUCGUUUAUUUGAUAGUACCUUACUACUUGGAUAACCCGUGGUAAUUCUAGAGCUAAUACAUGCUAAAAACCCCGACUCACGAAGGGGUGUAUUUAUUAGAUUAAAAACCAAUGCCCUUUCGGGGCUCUUUGGUGAUUCAUAAUAACUUUUCGAAUCGCAUGGCCUUGCGCCGGCGAUGGUUCAUUCAAAUUUCUGCCCUAUCAACUUUCGAUGGCAGGGUCUUGGCCUGCCAUGGUUACAACGGGUAACGGAGGGUUAGGGCUCGACCCCGGAGAAGGAGCCUGAGAAACGGCUACUACAUCCAAGGAAGGCAGCAGGCGCGCAAAUUACCCAAUCCCGAUUCGGGGAGGUAGUGACAAUAAAUACUGAUACAGGGCUCUUUUGGGUCUUGUAAUUGGAAUGAGUACAAUUUAAAUCCCUUAACGAGGAACAAUUGGAGGGCAAGUCUGGUGCCAGCAGCCGCGGUAAUUCCAGCUCCAAUAGCGUAUAUUAAAGUUGUUGCAGUUAAAAAGCUCGUAGUUGAACCUUGGGCCUGGCUGGCCGGUCCGCCUCACCGCGUGCACUGGUUCGGCCGGGCCUUUCCCUCUGGGGAACCUCAUGGUCUUCACUGAUCGUGAUGGGGAACCAGGACUUUUACUGUGAAAAAAUUAGAGUGUUCAAAGCAGGCCUAUGCUCGAAUACAUUAGCAUGGAAUAAUAAAAUAGGACGUGUGGUUCUAUUUUGUUGGUUUCUAGGACCGCCGUAAUGAUUAAUAGGGACAGUCGGGGGCAUCAGUAUUCAAUUGUCAGAGGUGAAAUUCUUGGAUUUAUUGAAGACUAACUACUGCGAAAGCAUUUGCCAAGGAUGUUUUCAUUAAUCAGGAACGAAAGUUAGGGGAUCGAAGACGAUCAGAUACCGUCGUAGUCUUAACCAUAAACUAUGCCGACUAGGGAUCGGACGGUGUUACUUAUUGACCCGUUCGGCACCUUACGAGAAAUCAAAG
RNAcentral lists this ribosomal RNA (1019 nucleotides) under Neopestalotiopsis foedans. RNAcentral describes it as "SSU rRNA". It matches the Rfam family "Eukaryotic small subunit ribosomal RNA", at positions 78 to 1103 of the family's 1831-position model. Lineage: Eukaryota; Fungi; Ascomycota; Sordariomycetes; Amphisphaeriales; Sporocadaceae. The record is from RNAcentral.